GACGAACGCUGGCGGCGUGCUUAACACAUGCAAGUCGAACGAUGAAGCCGGAGCUUGCUCCGGUGGAUUAGUGGCGAACGGGUGAGUAACACGUGAGCAAUCUGCCCUUGACUCUGGGAUAACUGCGGGAAACUGUAGCUAAUACCGGAUACGACACCUUGGGGCAUCCCAGGGUGUGGAAAGAAUUUCGGUCAAGGAUGAGCUCGCGGCCUAUCAGCUAGUUGGCGAGGUAAUGGCUCACCAAGGCGACGACGGGUAGCCGGCCUGAGAGGGUGACCGGCCACACUGGAACUGAGACACGGUCCAGACUCCUACGGGAGGCAGCAGUGGGGAAUAUUGCACAAUGGGCGAAAGCCUGAUGCAGCAACGCCGCGUGAGGGAUGAGGGCCUUCGGGUUGUAAACCUCUUUUAGCAGGGAAGAAGCGAAGGUGACGGUACCUGCAGAAAAAGCACCGGCUAACUACGUGCCAGCAGCCGCAGUAA
RNAcentral lists this ribosomal RNA (483 nucleotides) under uncultured bacterium. RNAcentral describes it as "partial 16S ribosomal RNA". It matches the Rfam family "Bacterial small subunit ribosomal RNA", at positions 28 to 523 of the family's 1533-position model. The record is from RNAcentral.